This 463-nucleotide ribosomal RNA is filed under the name uncultured bacterium. Its description in RNAcentral is "partial 16S ribosomal RNA". It matches the Rfam family "Bacterial small subunit ribosomal RNA", at positions 28 to 507 of the family's 1533-position model. The record is from RNAcentral.
GACGAACGCUGGCGGCGUGCUUAACACAUGCAAGUCGAACGGAAAGGCCUUUUCGGAGGUACCCGAGUGGCGAACGGGUGAGUAACACGUGGGUGAUCUGCCCUGCACUCUGGGAUAAGCCUGGGAAACUGGGUCUAAUACCGGAUAGGACCGCACUUUAGUGUGUGUGGUGGAAAGUUUUUUCGGUGUAGGAUGAGCCCGCGGCCUAUCAGCUUGUUGGUGGGGUAAUGGCCUACCAAGGCGGCGACGGGUAGCCGGACUGAGAGGUUGGUCGGCCACAUUGGGACUGAGAGACGGCCCAGACUCCUACGGGAGGCAGCAGUGGGGAAGAUUGCACAAUGGGCGCAAGCCUGAUGCAGCGACGCCGCGUGGGGGAGGACGGCCUUCGGGUUGUAAACUCCUUUCGCCAGGGACGAAGCGUUUUGUGACGGUACCUGGAGAAGAAGCACCGGCUAACUACGUG